This is a long non-coding RNA of Myzus persicae (green peach aphid), 497 nucleotides long. RefSeq lists it as uncharacterized. The transcript has 2 exons. The record is from RefSeq and is a predicted model, not a curated record. Lineage: Eukaryota; Metazoa; Arthropoda; Insecta; Hemiptera; Aphididae.
GGCAGCCACGUACUCCUUUGCCAUGGCUGAUGACGACUGCGGGGCGCGGGGUAACCGGACGGCGUGAUGUGCGUGCCGCGUUACGAUAAUUCAUUUUUUCGCCGUCGCUCUCUGCUUCACUCCGGUCGUCUAUCGUUUUUCAAAAUUCUGUUUCUGUCGUUCGGACCGAGGCAGUUGUUGUGCAACUAAUAAUUGCAUUACGGCUGCCUUGGUCUGGACUCGGUGUUGCCGAACGUUUUUGUUCCUGUGCAGAUGCGGAGUCGAAAGUCAACGUACAUGUUUCUGUACAUCAAUCAAAAUAUGAGCAGAAGAAAAUUCAAGACAGCAGCCGAACGUCCAAUAACACACUCAAUCUCAAAUCUAAUCCGUUGUUUUCAUCAUCCAAUGUGGUCAUGGUAAUUGAAUCCUAAACAAAUACAUUUUUGUGUGCGUACUUCAGAUAUGUAAUUCCACUGAUCCUGUAGCAGCCUUACUAAUCCGAGAUGAAAUUGUUUUUA